This 253-nucleotide ribosomal RNA is filed under the name uncultured bacterium. RNAcentral describes it as "partial 16S ribosomal RNA". It matches the Rfam family "Bacterial small subunit ribosomal RNA", at positions 524 to 776 of the family's 1533-position model. The record is from RNAcentral.
UACAGAGGUCCCGAGCGUUGUUCGGAUUCACUGGGCGUAAAGGGUGCGUAGGUGGUCCGUUAAGUUCGUUGUGAAAUCCCUGGGCUCAACCCAGGAAAUGCUUCGAAUACUGGCGGACUUGAGGCUAGUAGAGGUCACUGGAACUGACGGUGGAGCGGUGAAAUGCGUAGAUAUCGUCAGGAACGCCGAUGGUGAAGACAGGUGACUGGGCUAGUUCUGACACUGAGGCACGAAAGCGUGGGGAGCGAACGGG